Molecule: long non-coding RNA, 290 nt
Organism: Gordionus sp. m RMFG-2023
Lineage: Eukaryota; Metazoa; Nematomorpha; Gordioida; Chordodea; Parachordodidae
Exons: 3
Source: RefSeq, a predicted model, not a curated record
CAAAAUAUUAAGGAAAUUUUAGUUAUAAAAAUAUUAUUCUUGAUAUACUUUACUGGUUUAAUUUGAUAAUAUAUUUAUAAAAAUGUUAAAAAUUAAUUCUCUAUUCCUAUGGAUAUUAAUUGCUUUUGCAUUCAUUUCCUUGUCGAUAACAAGUUGCAGUGAAACUGAAAAUCGUCACAUUAGAAGUUACUAUGUAGGGAGAACUGUAUCAAGCGCCUACUUACCAAAAAUUCGCAUUGGAUAAGCUGACCAACUUUAAAAAGCGUAAAGAAGAGAAGGAAGCUAAAUCU